GACACAUCAGCUGUCACAAAAUAUGAGGGUUACCCAGUGGAAAUCUUCAGUGAAUCUGAGGAGGAUCAUUGGUUUGGACUGGCGUUGGGUUCGCCAGGACACACCAGCCCUGCUGACAGACAGACAACACGCGGACAGACAACACGCUACACGUUAACAGGACACGGCGCACACAAGCCACAGGCGAGAAACCUGAGACAGCGUGACACACUGAUCCUUGGUCAGUGACCUUAAGACAGAGACUGACCUGCGGAGACACAGACAGGCUCUGAAAACUGACCUCAGACCAGCCCAAGGUGACAGGAAUGAUAUCACACAGCAAAGACAAAAUUCUAUUAUGUCAGAGAGAGGAAGAGGUAGAGAAAAAGGAAGAGGA
Molecule: long non-coding RNA, 376 nt
Filed under: Salmo salar (Atlantic salmon)
Lineage: Eukaryota; Metazoa; Chordata; Actinopteri; Salmoniformes; Salmonidae
Description: lncRNA (ENSSSAG00000109570.1, ENSSSAG00020077324.1)
Source: RNAcentral